This 498-nucleotide ribosomal RNA is filed under the name uncultured bacterium. RNAcentral describes it as "bacterial SSU rRNA". It matches the Rfam family "Bacterial small subunit ribosomal RNA", at positions 899 to 1397 of the family's 1533-position model. The record is from RNAcentral.
ACUCAAAGGAAUUGACGGGGGCCCGCACAAGCAGUGGAGUAUGUGGUUUAAUUCGAAGCAACGCGAAGAACCUUACCAGGGCUUGACAUGUACUAGACGAACUAAGAGAUUAGUUUUCCCUUCGGGGCUGGUACACAGGUGGUGCAUGGUUGUCGUCAGCUCGUGUCGUGAGAUGUUGGGUUAAGUCCCGCAACGAGCGCAACCCCUAUUGUUAGUUGCUAGCACGUUAAGGUGAGCACUCUAGCAAGACUGCCGGCGAUAAGUCGGAGGAAGGUGGGGAUGACGUCAAAUCAUCAUGCCCUUUAUGUCCUGGGCAACACACGUACUACAAUGGCUGUAACAGAGGGAAGCGAACCAGUGAUGGGGAGCAAAUCCCAAAAAAGCAGUCUUAGUUCGGAUUGUAGGCUGAAAUUCGCCUACAUGAAGUCGGAAUUGCUAGUAAUUGCAGGUCAGCAUACUGCAGUGAAUACGUUCCCGGGCCUUGUACACACCGCCCGU